GGACUGUUGGUCUAGUGGUAUGAUUCUCGCUUAGGGUGCGAGAGGUCCCGUGUUCGAUCCACGGAUAGUCCC
RNAcentral lists this transfer RNA (72 nucleotides) under Ophiostoma piceae UAMH 11346. RNAcentral describes it as "tRNA-Pro (AGG) (tRNA-Pro-AGG-2-1)". It matches the Rfam family "tRNA". From Rfam's summary of the family: Transfer RNA (tRNA) molecules are approximately 80 nucleotides in length. The record is from RNAcentral. Lineage: Eukaryota; Fungi; Ascomycota; Sordariomycetes; Ophiostomatales; Ophiostomataceae.